Molecule: ribosomal RNA, 401 nt
Filed under: uncultured bacterium
Lineage: Bacteria
Description: bacterial SSU rRNA
Rfam family: Bacterial small subunit ribosomal RNA
Source: RNAcentral
AUUGAACGCUGGCGGCAUGCUUUACACAUGCAAGUCGAGCGGCAGCGCGGGGGCAACCCUGGCGGCGAGCGGCGAACGGGGGAGUAAUGCAUCGGAACGUAUCCUCUUGUGGGGGAUAACCCACCGAAAGGUGGGCUAAUACCGCAUAAGCUCUGAGGAGGAAAGCGGGGGGACCGAAAGGCCUCGCGCAGGAGGAGCGGCCGAUGUCCGAUUAGCUAGUUGGUGGGGUAAAGGCCCACCAAGGCGACGAUCGGUAGCUGGUCUGAGAGGAGUGAUCAGCCACACUGGGACUGAGACACGGCCCAGACUCCUACGGGAGGCAGCAGUGGGGAAUUUGGUACAAUGGGGGCGAACCCUGAUCCAGCCAUGCCGCGUGAGUGAAGAAGGGCCUUCGGGUUGGU